This 429-nucleotide ribosomal RNA is filed under the name Bacteroidota bacterium. RNAcentral describes it as "Bacteroidetes bacterium partial 16S ribosomal RNA". It matches the Rfam family "Bacterial small subunit ribosomal RNA", at positions 355 to 776 of the family's 1533-position model. The record is from RNAcentral. Lineage: Bacteria; Pseudomonadati; Bacteroidota.
UAGGGAAUCUUCGGCAAUGGGGGGAACCCUGACCGAGCAACGCCGCGUGAGUGAAGAAGGUUUUCGGAUCGUAAAGCUCUGUUGUUAAGGAAGAACGAGAGUGAGAAUGGAAAGUUCAUACUGUGACGGUACUUAACCAGAAAGGGACGGCUAACUACGUGCCAGCAGCCGCGGUAAUACGUAGGUCCCGAGCGUUGUCCGGAUUUAUUGGGCGUAAAGCGAGCGCAGGCGGUUAGAUAAGUCUGAAGUUAAAGGCAGUGGCUCAACCAUUGUAGGCUUUGGAAACUGUUUAACUUGAGUGCAGAAGGGGAGAGUGGAAUUCCAUGUGUAACGGUGAAAUGCGUAGAUAUAUGGAGGAACACCGGUGGCGAAAGCGGCUCUCUGGUCUGUAACUGCCGCUGAGGCUCGAAAGCGUGGGGAGCGAACAGG